Molecule: non-coding RNA, 287 nt
Organism: Castor canadensis (American beaver)
Lineage: Eukaryota; Metazoa; Chordata; Mammalia; Rodentia; Castoridae
Source: RefSeq, a predicted model, not a curated record
CUCCUCCAGGAAGAGCAGACACUCCUUCUCUUCAGCAGACAGGAAGUCGUAGCUGUCACUCUGUGGGAGAAGGAGUUGUGAGAGGGAGCUCUUGCAGAAACUGGCGGGGCCUGAGAACCACCCUGCUAUGGGGAAAGAAUGCUGAAGGUGAGGAAGACUGAUAGAAAAGUUGCUCUUCAAAGAAGAUUGAAGGAAAAACCAAAAGGGCAAAAGGAAAUAUAAGAAAUUUGGCUUGAAUGUUUUUCUUGAGAACUUCAAGACGCCAUGUGCUGCCUGGAGUCAGUGGC